UGUGGUGCAACGUGGCGUUGGUGGAUGGAGCGAGACAUGAUGUCCCAGAUGUGCUCAAUUGGAUUCAGGUCUGGGGAACGGGCGGGCCAGUCCAUAGCAUCAAUGCCUUCCUCUUGCAGGAACUGCUGACACACUCCAGCCACAUGAGGUCUAGCAUUGUCUUGCAUUAGGAGGAACCCAGGGCCAACCGCACUAGCAUAUGGUCUCACAAGGGGUCUGAGGAUCUCAUCUCGGUACCUAAUGGAAGUCAGGCUACCUCUGGCAAGCACAUGGAGGGCUGUGCGGCCCCCCAAAGAAAUUCCACCCCACACCAUGACUGACCCACCGCCAAACCGGUCAUGCUGGAGGAUGUUGCAGGCAGCAGAAUGUUCUCCAAUGCGUCUCCAGACUCUGUCACGUCUGUCACAUGCUCAGUGUGAACCUGCUUUCAUCUGUGAAGAGCACAGGGCGCCAGUGGCGAAUUUGCCAAUCUUGGUGUUCUCUGGCAAAUGCCAAACGUCCACAGGUGGGGGUUGUGCUUACAGCCCAACACCGUGCAGGACGUUUGGCAUUUGCCAGAGAAC
This 563-nucleotide long non-coding RNA is filed under the name Salmo salar (Atlantic salmon). RNAcentral's name for it is "lncRNA (ENSSSAG00000115873.1)". The record is from RNAcentral. Lineage: Eukaryota; Metazoa; Chordata; Actinopteri; Salmoniformes; Salmonidae.